RNAcentral lists this ribosomal RNA (1472 nucleotides) under Eugonatonotus chacei. RNAcentral describes it as "SSU rRNA". It matches the Rfam family "Eukaryotic small subunit ribosomal RNA", at positions 394 to 1804 of the family's 1831-position model. The record is from RNAcentral. Lineage: Eukaryota; Metazoa; Arthropoda; Malacostraca; Decapoda; Eugonatonotidae.
GCCUGAGAAACGGCUACCACAUCCAAGGAAGGCAGCAGGCACGCAAAUUACCCAAUCCCAGCUCUGGGAGGUAGUGACGAAAAAUAACAAUGCGGGACUCUUCCGAGUCUGCGUAAUUGGAAUGAGCACACUUUAAAUCCUUUAGCAACAACCAAUUGGAGGGCAAGUCUGGUGCCAGCAGCCGCGGUAAUUCCAGCUCCAAUAGCGUAUAUUAAAGUUGUUGCGGUUAAAAAGCUCGUAGUUCGAGUUCAGUUCCGGACUGACCGGGGAGGUCACCGCCCGGUGCUUCCCCGUCAGGCUCCGAACAGCUUUUGUGAGCAAAAGCCAAGCCGGUUUCGCCGGGGUGCUCUUCACCGAGUGUCCCGCGCGGCCGGCCAGUUUACCUUGAAUAAAUGAGAGUGCUCAAAGCAGGCUACUCUUAAAAAUAAAGCCCGAAUGUUACCUGCAUGGAAUGAUGGAAGAUGAUCUCGGUUCCAUUUUAUUGGCUCUGGGAAUCCGAGUUAAUGAUAAACAGGGACUGUCGGGGGCAUCCGUACUACGACGCGAGAGGUGAAAUUCAGUGACCGUCGUAGGACGAACAACAGCGAAAGCAUUUGCCAAGAAUGUCUUCGUUGAUCAAGAACGAAAGUUAGAGGAUCGAAGGCGAUCAGAUACCGCCCUAGUUCUAACCCUAAACGAUGCUGACUAGCAAUUCGCCGUCGUUAUUCCCAUGACGUGGCGAGACGCCCCCGGGAAACCUCAAGUCUCUGAGUUCCGGGGGUAGUAUGGUUGCAAAACUGAAACUUAAAGGAAUUGACGGAAGGGCACCACCAGGAGUGGAGCCUGCGGCUUAAUUUGACUCAACACGGGGAACCUCACCAGGCCCGGACACCAGAAGGAUUGACAGAUUAAGAGCUCUUUCUCGAUUUGGUGGGUGGUGGUGCAUGGCCGUUCUUAGUUGGUGGAGUGAUUUGUCUGGUUAAUUCCGGUAACGAACGAGACUCUGGCCUAUUAAAUAGUCGACGUGGGUUUUGGUGCAUGGGCCCCGUUCGACACUGUCUUCUUAGAGGGAUGAGCAGCGAGUAUAGCUGCAGGAGAUUGAGCAAUAACAGGUCUGUGAUGCCCUUAGAUGUCCUGGGCCGCACGCGCGCUACACUGAAUGGGUUAGCGGGUUUUCCUUCUCCGAGAGGAGCGGGAAAUCGCGUGAAAACCAUUCGUGAUAGGGAUUGGGGCUUGCAAUUGUUUCCCAUGAACGAGGAAUUCCCAGUAAGCGCAAGUCAUCAGCUUGCGUUGAUUAAGUCCCUGCCCUUUGUACACACCGCCCGUCGCUACUACCGAUUGAAUGAUUUAGUGAGGCCUUCGGACUGGCGGUCUUGGAACGGGUUCCGCUCGCCACCACCCCAGCGAUGGGGGGCGUCGGACUCUCCAUGACGAGCCGGAAAGAUGUCCAAACUUGAUCAUUUANAGGAAGUAAAAGUCGUAACAAGGUUUCC